CAGGAUUUCUCCUCCAGAAAGAAAUGUAAAGAAACUACAGAAAAAGGAGCAAUCUGAAGGAAGUCACCUUUCUCUCGGAUAGGAAUGUGCAGUUUAGACAAAAUGCAUAGGACCUGGCCUUGCUGUUAGUCAGGCAAAACAUCCCUGGGAUAAAAUACUGGCUCUGCUGAUAUCAAUGACAAAACAACCCUUGGCUUCAAACGGAGGAGAACUUCUCUCGUGACUUCCCCAACUCAGGAGAAGCUGAAGGCUUCACCCAGCAUGGGAAAACAAACAAUCUCGGUUGGGAUUGUACGGAAAACCAGCCCGCACCCCCUCCCCGCAACGAGCGCCGCGGUCAG
RNAcentral lists this long non-coding RNA (341 nucleotides) under Crocodylus porosus (Australian saltwater crocodile). RNAcentral's name for it is "lncRNA (ENSCPRG00005009162.1)". Lineage: Eukaryota; Metazoa; Chordata; Crocodylia; Crocodylidae. The record is from RNAcentral.